AACGCUGGCGGCGUGCCUAAUACAUGCAAGUCGAACGAACUUCCGUUAAUUGAUUAUGACGUGCUUGCACUGAAUGAGAUUUUAACACGAAGUGAGUGGCGGACGGGUGAGUAACACGUGGGUAACCUGCCCAGAAGCAGGGGAUAACACCUGGAAACAGAUGCUAAUACCGUAUAACAGAGAAAACCGCCUGGUUUUCUUUUAAAAGAUGGCUCUGCUAUCACUUCUGGAUGGACCCGCGGCGCAUUAGCUAGUUGGUGAGGUAACGGCUCACCAAGGCGAUGAUGCGUAGCCGACCUGAGAGGGUAAUCGGCCACAUUGGGACUGAGACACGGCCCAGACUCCUACGGGAGGCAGCAGUAGGGAAUCUUCCACAAUGGACGCAAGUCUGAUGGAGCAACGCCGCGUGAGUGAAGAAGGGUUUCGGCUCGUAAAGCUCUGUUGUUAAAGAAGAACGUGGGUGAGAGUAACUGUUCACCCAGUGACGGUAUUUAACCAGAAAGGCACGGCUAACUA
RNAcentral lists this ribosomal RNA (516 nucleotides) under Pediococcus acidilactici. Its description in RNAcentral is "bacterial SSU rRNA". It matches the Rfam family "Bacterial small subunit ribosomal RNA", at positions 32 to 503 of the family's 1533-position model. Lineage: Bacteria; Bacillati; Bacillota; Bacilli; Lactobacillales; Lactobacillaceae. The record is from RNAcentral.